RNAcentral lists this ribosomal RNA (254 nucleotides) under uncultured bacterium. Its description in RNAcentral is "partial 16S ribosomal RNA". It matches the Rfam family "Bacterial small subunit ribosomal RNA", at positions 524 to 777 of the family's 1533-position model. The record is from RNAcentral.
UACGAAGGGGGCUAGCGUUGUUCGGAAUUACUGGGCGUAAAGCGCGCGCAGGCGGUCCUUUAAGUCAGGGGUGAAAGCCCAGAGCUCAACUCUGGAACUGCCUUUGAAACUAGAGGACUUGGGUACGGGAGAGGUGAGUGGAAUUCCGAGUGUAGAGGUGAAAUUCGUAGAUAUUCGGAAGAACACCAGUGGCGAAGGCGGCUCACUGGCCCGAUACUGACGCUGAGGCACGAAAGCGUGGGGAGCAAACAGGG